Prinia subflava (tawny-flanked prinia) is the source of this 1641-nucleotide long non-coding RNA. RefSeq lists it as uncharacterized. The record is from RefSeq and is a predicted model, not a curated record. Lineage: Eukaryota; Metazoa; Chordata; Aves; Passeriformes; Cisticolidae. The transcript is spliced from 6 exons.
GACCCACAGCGGCUGUGCCGCGCUCGCUGUCCCCAGGCUCCAACCCGCCGGGACAGGGAAUCCUGUGGGGACAAGCUGCAGCUGUCUUGUCCCCGCAUGCAGCAGCUCGCAGGCGUUGUCCCCUCCUGUCCCGGCACGGAGCUGGGCUGCAGCGGCUGCAGAGCCCCAGGGGCCGCGGCUGCGGGCACCGGAGAGCUCCCAGAGGCCGCGCUUGUCUCCGCAGUGCCAUCAGCGAGGGUGUGAAGCUGUUCCCGAGGCCAAUCUCCGAAAGACUUUUUCAAUCUUCCUGAUGACUCCAGAGCAAGGGGAUGUUUAUUCCAAGAAGAGAGAUGCCAGCUGUGAGCAGGAGGAGAGUGAAUUCUGAUCCCAUCAUGGAGUUGUGAAGGAGCUCCUGCAUCUCCAGGAGGGAUCAGCAGCUGGGGUUCCACACUUGCCUGGGGUGCAAGAAGCCACUUGUCAUGAGCAGGGGGAUGCCACUUAUGAGCAUGCAGAGAGUGAAGAUGUGGAGAAUGAAUUCUGCAUCAGUGAUGGGAGUGUGAGGAAGCCCCUGGGUCCUUAGGGCACAUCAGCACCUGGCAAUGUACACAGAAGGAUCCUCAGAAGAUUCUGGGCAAGCGGUUCAGGUGCCAUCCCCUGCUUGUGUUGGUGCUGGUUGUGCUCGUGUUGCUGGUGCUGGCUUUGGCGGUGGCCUUGGCUGUGCAGUCAGCACCACAGGUUCCAAUCACACCUGUGACUCCGCUCUUGGUUCUGGGCUGUUCUUCUGCCUGAAUUGGGUGCAAUGGGGUCUGCUACUACUUCUCCAGGGAUCACGGCACCUGGGAGCAGGGUCAGAAGCGGUGCUCCAAGCUCGGGGCCUCCUUGGCCAUUGUCAGGGAUGAGAACCUGGAACAUCAAUUACUGGCUCGGGCUGCGCAGACGGGGCCAGCGCCUGCACUGGGGGGACGGCAGCAACUUCAGCUCCUGGGUUCCUGUCCUUGGCAAUUCCGAGUGUGUGUACCUGGCUGACAAUAAAUUCCACAGUGAGAACUGCUCCAAUCAGCAUCCAUAUCUGUGCAGCAAGGCCCAAGCUCCCCUGUGACAGGGGCUGCAGAAAGGACCUUCUCCACGCUAGGCAGUCCCUGCUUCAUCUCUUAGCCCGGCACAGGGCUCUCCUUCCUCCGCUACAGCCUGUGCCUUGCCCUCACUCUCAGGGUCACCUCCGUGCCUGUUCCUCGCCACUGCCAAGGCCGGGCUGGGUGUCCAAAGGAAAAGUCUCCGUAAUCCCUCCUGCCCCCGGUGCUGCCUGCAGGGAGGGCAUUGCCCUCGUGACACCCCCAGCUCCAAGGGCAGCCACCAGCGCCCCUGCCGGCAGUGCGGGAACUGCAGGGAAGGGGAAAGCGCCUGCGGCCGAGAGCAGCUGGGCCUGAGUUUGGGCUCUGUUUGUUGUUCAUGCCGCACUCGGGGUUGUCUGUCCACUUUGUGCUACGUACAAGUAAAGAACUGUUAUUCUUCUCAUAGCUUAGCCUGAGAAACCCCUUCAUUUCAAAAUGAGAAUCAUUUGGAGGGAAGGAUUUUCCAUUUUCCAUAGCAAGGGAGGCUCCUGCCUUCCUUAGCAGACACUUGUCUUUCCAACCAAACCAGCCCCAUCCCUCUGUGGAACUG